UGGGGAAUAUUGCACAAUGGGCGCAAGCCUGACGCAGCCAUGCCGCGUGUAUGAAGAAGGCCUUCGGGUUGUAAAGCACUUUCAGCGGGGAGGAAGGGAGUAAAGUUAAUACGUUUGCUCAUUGACGUUACCCGCAGAAGAAGCACCGGCUAACUCCGUGCCAGCAGCCGCGGUAAUACGGAGGGUGCAAGCGUUAAUCGGAAUUACUGGGCGUAAAGGGCGCGCAGGCGGUUUGUUAAGUCAGAGGUGAAAGCCCCGGGCUCAACCUGGGAACUGCAUCUGAUACUGGCAAGCUUGAGUCUCGUAGAGGGGGGUAGAAUUCCAGGUGUAGCGGUGAAAUGCGUAGAGAUCUGGAGGAAUACCGGUGGCGAAGGCGGCCCCCUGGACGAAGACUGACGCUCAGGUGCGAAAGCGUGGGGAGCAAACAGG
RNAcentral lists this ribosomal RNA (429 nucleotides) under Chloroflexota bacterium. Its description in RNAcentral is "Chloroflexi bacterium partial 16S ribosomal RNA". It matches the Rfam family "Bacterial small subunit ribosomal RNA", at positions 355 to 776 of the family's 1533-position model. Lineage: Bacteria; Bacillati; Chloroflexota. The record is from RNAcentral.